Molecule: ribosomal RNA, 825 nt
Filed under: marine metagenome
Description: bacterial SSU rRNA
Rfam family: Bacterial small subunit ribosomal RNA
Source: RNAcentral
CAGCCAUACCGCGUGUGUGAAGAAGGCCUUAGGGUUGUAAAGCACUUUAAGCGAUGAAGAAGAAAAGUAAGUUAAUACCUUACUUUUUUGACGUUACUCGCAGAAUAAGUACCGGCUAACUCCGUGCCAGCAGCCGCGGUAAUACGGAGGGUACAAGCGUUAAUCGGAAUUACUGGGCGUAAAGCGCGCGUAGGCGGUUAAGUAAGUUGGAUGUGAAAGCCCUGGGCUCAACCUAGGAACUGCAUUCAAAACUAUUUAACUAGAGUGCGAGAGAGGAGAGUAGAAUUUCUGGUGUAGCGGUGAAAUGCGUAGAUAUCAGAAGGAAUACCAAUGGCGAAGGCAGCUCUCUGGCUCGUCACUGACGCUAAGGUGCGAAAGCGUGGGUAGCAAACAGGAUUAGAUACCCUGGUAGUCCACGCCGUAAACGAUGAGAACUAGCCGUUGGGGAGAAUUAACUCUUCAGUGGCGCAGCUAACGCAUUAAGUUCUCCGCCUGGGGACUACGGCCGCAAGGCUAAAACUCAAAUGAAUUGACGGGGGCCCGCACAAGCGGUGGAUCAUGUGGUUUAAUUCGAUGCAACGCGAAGAACCUUACCUACCCUUGAAAUCCAGCGAAGUUCCUAGAGAUAGGAAUGUGCCUUCGGGAACGCUGUGACAGGUGUUGCAUGGCUGUCGUCAGCUCGUGUCGUGAGAUGUAUGGUUAAGUCCAGUAACGAGCGCAACCCCUAUCCUUAUUUGCCAGCGCAUAAUGGCGGGAACUAUAAGGAGACUGCCGGUCAUAAACCGGAGGAAGGCGGGGACGACGUCAAGUCAUCAUGGCCCUUAU